GGUGGCUUAGUGGUAGAGUGCUUGCCUUGCAUGCAUGAGGCUCUGGGUUUGAUUCCUCAGCACCA
Molecule: non-coding RNA, 65 nt
Organism: Dipodomys ordii (Ord's kangaroo rat)
Lineage: Eukaryota; Metazoa; Chordata; Mammalia; Rodentia; Heteromyidae
Source: Rfam